UAAAGUCUUAUUGUGUCCGUUCGCUAGGUCGUCUAGCCGGAGGGGGUCGUCGAGGAGCGGAGAUGGUCCGGUAGAGGGGGAAGGGAAGUCCAGGGGUCGUCUAGCGGCCGCAGCGGGGGUCCAGCAAAGGGAUCCAGCGAGUUCGAGCCGGGCCCGACAGGCGGCCGUGGCGGUUAGCGGAGCGAAGUCCAGCGGGUUCGGUCGGCCGCGGCGGGGAGUCUAGCUCCAGUGGCCGUCGUCUAGUUCCAGUGGCCGUCGAUUAGCGGAGCGAAGUCCAGCGGGUUUCGCACGAGGGUACCACCCGCGAGGCUCUCCUGCUGCUGCCGCAGAAGUCCACCUGUUGUAACUACUUUCGCUGAAUAAACUACUAUACCAAGUUCUCUACCUUGUCUAAAAUGAGUUAAGUCCCCUCGGGGCACUUUCACCUGGAAGAUGACUAUUGGCGCACUUAUUACGAGUGGUUUUAGUCGUAAAGUCUCUACCGUCGUGGUGACGGAGAUGGAGACCAUGUCUACUACGUAUACAUAUAGGGGAAAGAGCGUUAGAAAGCCUUUAACUAAGCCACCUCCAACACCCCCGUUUCGUUUCUUGUCCCCUACAAAGAAAGUCGCUCGCCUACCAACCCCAGUUUCUCAUGUGACAUAUGAACAACUUUCACUCCUCACCGCUUCUACUCACCCUUUAACUCGCAGCUAUGGCACUUAAAAUACGUGAAAUAGUUGUUGAGUUCGAGAAGAAAAGACUCUUUCCUAACUCAGAAGGUGGGGGUACCUAUUUACAACUCUUUCUCAGGUCAUUUUACAAACCCUUACGUAGGGGUCUACAACAGUUACCUUCUUCACCAGAAUAAGUUCUGACGAAUACGAGAAACGAGCAGAGAUUAAUAGGGAAACCUUGUGGGAGGGGAGACCAAUUAAAAAACAGUGGCUCCUGUAGACGAAUACUUGUUUCGAAAAAUUUCUACGAAAAAGGCGCUAGAAACUUUUCCGACUCGUCGCUAAAUGUAUGGUUUCUAAGUCUGACGUUACCUCGAGACGUGUUCCUAAGAUGGAGCAACCCGUUCUGUUAUAGUGAACAACACCUCCUAUCCGGAGUCUUCAGCUGAUCUGUCAACAACCUCAAAGUUGUGAUGUUAACACACCCUACAGUAUCCGUAAACCUACGACCUGCUUGUAACGACGUUCUUGAACAUGUUUGAUAACCUACCUUGUUCGGGGCCAAAACACGAAUGUGACCUGUCAAUAAAACACGGAGAACAGUGUGUUUACUAUGACGCCAAGACGGUCGUUCUCAAAAUGUGGUGACCCUAAAAAGAAAUAUAGGUCAAAGGGUCGAUCGUUUUCGUAAAAACCUGAGGUAGAUACUGGUCGGAUACGAGACACAUUCACGACAGUUGGGAAAGGAAAAACGAUUUCACGGACGAGACGAAUUGUAGUACUCAUAGGCCUUCUUUUAUCGACGGUACGAAGGAACAGAGGUUACAGGAAAAGCCUUGAGGUAUAAAUCUCCUAAUCCUCAAGCUUCUAUGGAAGAACUACCCUUACUGAAAAAACGCGAAGCACUGGAACAACUAGAGAGCUUCCCUCGAAAACGUCGUGAAGGUCAAUUCCACGUCUGGCAUAGUUUAUCCUAUGAACUUGUAUAGUGUCUCGUUACGGAACACACGAUACUACGGCCGUAAGGAACACGACGAGCUGUUCGAACACUACUGGGGGACCGGGAAUAAAAAGGUAAAGUCCUUCUACUUCGAUGUUCUACACCAAGAACACCCAGUUAAAAGGUGUUUGUUACGAAGUCCUUUUAAUCACAGACGGGGACACCAUUCUCACGGUCGUGUCCGUGCUUUUAGCACCGCGAUCUUGUUAGAUAUCUUAGUUUGUCCGACAGUUGACUCAAGUAGGGUGGGGGAAGAAAAAGAAGUAGCAGUUCUAAAAAGCGGCCAUAAGAAAGCUUUCGUUCCAGUCUAUUCUAAACCUUUGGCUCUCUGUCGUUAGGACACUAAAACUACCCAAGUAACGGCCUAUGCAGAUACACUCAAGUCGAAUCGACGUACACACCCCAAAUAGUAUUGUUAAAAAAUGAACGCGCUUACAACAUAUAAAACGACGCUGUCAUAUCGUUUCUCUUCCCUAAGAGUGACGACAAAGACAUACAACAGGUU
This 2161-nucleotide ribosomal RNA is filed under the name Triticum aestivum (bread wheat). RNAcentral describes it as "partial small subunit ribosomal RNA". The record is from RNAcentral. Lineage: Eukaryota; Viridiplantae; Streptophyta; Magnoliopsida; Poales; Poaceae.